GUGUAGCGGAUGCAGAGUGUGUGUUAGUGUAGUGAAUGCAGAGUGUGUUAAUGUGUAGCGAAUGCAGUGUGUGUGUUGUGUUAGUGGAUGCAGCGUGUGUGUGUGUGUUGUGUUAGUGUAUGCAAUGUGUGUUGUGUUAGUGUAUGCAGUGUGUGUGUUGUGUUAGUGUAUGUAUUGUGUGUGUUGUGUUAGUGUAUGCAGUGUGUGUUGUGUUAGUGUAUGCAGUGUGUGUGUG
Pelobates cultripes (western spadefoot toad) is the source of this 235-nucleotide non-coding RNA. The record is from the annotation of a GenBank genome assembly. NCBI's taxonomy places the organism in Eukaryota, Metazoa, Chordata, Amphibia, Anura, Pelobatidae.